This 447-nucleotide ribosomal RNA is filed under the name uncultured bacterium. RNAcentral describes it as "partial 16S ribosomal RNA". It matches the Rfam family "Bacterial small subunit ribosomal RNA", at positions 29 to 523 of the family's 1533-position model. The record is from RNAcentral.
AGCGAACGCUGGCGGCAGGCUUGACACAUGCAAGUCGAACGCCCCGCAAGGGGAGUGGCAGACGGGUGAGUAACACGUGGGAACGUACCCUUUGGUUCGGAAUAACUUGGGGAAACUCAAGCUAAUACCGGAUAAGCCCUUACGGGGAAAGGUUUACUGCCGAAGGAUCGGCCCGCGUCUGAUUAGCUAGUUGGUGAGGUAACGGCUCACCAAGGCGACGAUCAGUAGCUGGUCUGAGAGGAUGAUCAGCCACACUGGGACUGAGACACGGCCCAGACUCCUACGGGAGGCAGCAGUGGGGAAUAUUGGACAAUGGGGGCAACCCUGAUCCAGCCAUGCCGCGUGAGUGAUGAAGGCCUUAGGGUUGUAAAGCUCUUUUACCCGGGACGAUAAUGACUGUACCGGGAGAAUAAGCCCCGGCUAACUUCGUGCCAGCAGCCGCCGUAA